AGAGACUUAGGAUAGUAUUUAGACCAAGGGCCUUCAAAGCCCUAAGCGAGGGUGAAAAUCCCCCAGCCUCUG
Non-coding RNA from Esox lucius (northern pike), 72 nucleotides. Lineage: Eukaryota; Metazoa; Chordata; Actinopteri; Esociformes; Esocidae. The record is from Ensembl.